Non-coding RNA from Otolemur garnettii (small-eared galago), 110 nucleotides. The record is from Rfam. NCBI's taxonomy places the organism in Eukaryota, Metazoa, Chordata, Mammalia, Primates, Galagidae.
GUGCUCACUUUGGCAACACAUAUACUAAAAUUGGAAUGAUACAGAAAAAAUGAUACAGAAAAAAACUGGGCAAGGAUGACACUCAAAUUUGUGAAGUGUUCCAUAUUUAA